Molecule: ribosomal RNA, 435 nt
Filed under: uncultured Lachnospiraceae bacterium
Lineage: Bacteria; Bacillati; Bacillota; Clostridia; Lachnospirales; Lachnospiraceae
Description: bacterial SSU rRNA
Rfam family: Bacterial small subunit ribosomal RNA
Source: RNAcentral
ACGGAAGGCAGCAGUGGGGAAUAUUGCACAAUGGGCGAAAGCCUGAUGCAGCGACGCCGCGUGAGUGAUGAAGUAUUUCGGUAUGUAAAGCUCUAUCAGCAGGGAAGAAAAUGACGGUACCUGACUAAGAAGCCCCGGCUAAAUACGUGCCAGCAGCCGCGGUAAUACGUAUGGGGCAAGCGUUAUCCGGAUUUACUGGGUGUAAAGGGAGCGCAGGCGGCAAGGCAAGUCAGAAGUGAAAACCCGGGGCUCAACCCCGUGGAUUGCCUUUGGAACUGUAGGACUUGAGUACUGGAGGGGCAGGCGGAAUUCCUGGUGUAGCGGUGAAAUGCGUAGAUAUCAGGAGGAACACCGGUGGCGAAGGCGGCCUGCUGGACAGAAACUGACGCUGAGGCUCGAAAGCGUGGGGAGCAAACAGGAUUAGAUACCCUGGUA